RNAcentral lists this ribosomal RNA (795 nucleotides) under uncultured Bacteroidota bacterium. Its description in RNAcentral is "bacterial SSU rRNA". It matches the Rfam family "Bacterial small subunit ribosomal RNA", at positions 93 to 890 of the family's 1533-position model. The record is from RNAcentral. Lineage: Bacteria; Pseudomonadati; Bacteroidota.
UAGUGGCGCACGGGUGCGUAACACGUAUGCAACCUACCUAUUAUUGGGGGAUAGCCUUUGGAAACGGAGAUUAAUACCGCAUAAUACGAUUGACUGGCAUCGGUUGAUUGUUAAAGCUUAGGCGAUAAUAGAUGGGCAUGCGUCCAAUUAGUUAGUUGGUUAGGUAACGGCUGACCAAGACGAUGAUUGGUAGGGGAUCUGAGAGGAUAAUCCCCCACACUGGCACUGAGAUACGGGCCAGACUCCUACGGGAGGCAGCAGUAGGGAAUAUUGGGCAAUGGGCGGAAGCCUGACCCAGCCAUGCCGCGUGCAGGAAGAAGGCGUUAUGCGUUGUAAACUGCUUUUUUAUAGGAAGAAGGAUCCCUUGCGAGGGAAGGUGACGGUACUAUAAGAAUAAGCACCGGCUAACUCCGUGCCAGCAGCCGCGGUAAUACGGAGGGUGCAAGCGUUGUCCGGAUUUAUUGGGUUUAAAGGGUGCGUAGGCGGUUUAUUAAGUCAGUGGUGAAAGACGGUCGCUCAACGAUUGCAGCGCCAUUGAUACUGGUAGACUUGAGUGAGAUUGAGGUAGCUGGAAUGGAUAGUGUAGCGGUGAAAUGCAUAGAUACCGGAAGGAAUACCAAUUGCGAAGGCAGGUUGCUACGAAUAAACUGACGCUGAUGCACGAAAGCGUGGGGAUCAAACAGGAUUAGAUACCCUGGUAGUCCACGCCGUAAACGAUGAUUACUAGUUGUUGGGGUUUAAUCUUCAGUGACCAAGGGAAACCGAUAAGUAAUCCACCUGGGGAGUACGCCGGCA